RNAcentral lists this ribosomal RNA (498 nucleotides) under uncultured bacterium. Its description in RNAcentral is "partial 16S ribosomal RNA". It matches the Rfam family "Bacterial small subunit ribosomal RNA", at positions 30 to 523 of the family's 1533-position model. The record is from RNAcentral.
AUUGAACGCUGGCGGCAUGCCUUACACAUGCAAGUCGAACGGUAACAGGUCUUCGGAUGCUGACGAGAGGCGAACGGGUGAGUAAUACAUCGGAACGUGCCUAGUAGUGGGGGAUAACUACUCGAAAGAGUGGCUAAUACCGCAUGAGAUCUACGGAUGAAAGCAGGGGAUCGCAAGACCUUGUGCUACUAGAGCGGCCGAUGGCAGAUUAGGUAGUUGGUGGGAUAAAAGCUUACCAAGCCGACGAUCUGUAGCUGGUCUGAGAGGACGAUCAGCCACACUGGGACUGAGAAACGGCCCAGACUCCUACGGGAGCAAGAAGUGGGGAAUUUUGGACAAUGGGCGCAAGCCUGAUCCAGCAAUGCCGCGUGCAGGAUGAAGGCCUUCGGGUUGUAAACUGCUUUUGUACGGAACGAAAAGCCCCGGGUUAAUACCCUGGGGUCAUGACGGUACCGUAAGAAUAAGCACCGGCUAACUACGAGCCAGCCGCCGCCGUAA